Molecule: ribosomal RNA, 423 nt
Filed under: Triticum aestivum (bread wheat)
Lineage: Eukaryota; Viridiplantae; Streptophyta; Magnoliopsida; Poales; Poaceae
Description: partial small subunit ribosomal RNA
Source: RNAcentral
AUGACGGAUUUGGUGGAGGAGAGGAACUCCCUCAAGGACGAAAAGAGGAGCCCUGUGUACAGAAAACUUGUGAUGCUGCUUUGUCAAGUGCUUGUGGGGUGGUUUCGAUUUGACCUAGAAGACCGCCGCUUCGCUCCUCCGGGUCUGCUUAUUCCCGGGUCGCCGCUGCUCCCACGAUGGAGGAAACACUUGUCUUGUUUUUCUGUAUUGAGCAAACGCUUGUCUUGUUUUUCUGUAGCAUUCACCAUGCAUGUCUCGUGUGAUCCUUGUGCAGGCCGUAUAGCACUAAUUGGACUGCGGUGGUCUGAUGACACCUUCCCUUGUCCAUGGAGGAUCCUCAAUAGGCAAGAACAUAUGCCACCGCUGAUCCAAAGCUCGUGCCAGGGGAAGGGAUUCUGUCAUUGCCUUCUAUGUGGGUGGUGA